UACGAAGGGGGCUAGCGUUGCUCGGAAUUACUGGGCGUAAAGCGCACGUAGGCGGUCUUUUAAGUCGGGGGUGAAAUCCAGGAGCUCAACUCCAGAACUGCCUUCGAUACUGGAAGACUUGAGUCCGGGAGAGGUGAGUGGAACUGCGAGUGUAGAGGUGAAAUUCGUAGAUAUUCGCAAGAACACCAGUGGCGAAGGCGGCUCACUGGCCCGGUACUGACGCUGAGGUGCGAAAGCGUGGGGAGCAAACAGG
RNAcentral lists this ribosomal RNA (253 nucleotides) under uncultured bacterium. RNAcentral's name for it is "partial 16S ribosomal RNA". It matches the Rfam family "Bacterial small subunit ribosomal RNA", at positions 524 to 776 of the family's 1533-position model. The record is from RNAcentral.